This 814-nucleotide ribosomal RNA is filed under the name uncultured bacterium. RNAcentral's name for it is "bacterial SSU rRNA". It matches the Rfam family "Bacterial small subunit ribosomal RNA", at positions 59 to 862 of the family's 1533-position model. The record is from RNAcentral.
CAGUCGAGGGGCAGCGGGGAGGUAGCAAUACUUUCGCCGGCGACCGGCGCACGGGUGAGUAACACGUAUGGAACCUGCCCGUAGCAGGGGGAUAAGCGGAAGAAAUUCCGUCUAAUACCGCGUAAUAACUCCGAGAGGCAUCUCAUGGAGUUUAAAGGGUAACACCGGCUACGGAUGGCCAUGCGGCGCAUUAGCUAGUUGGCGGGGUAACGGCCCACCAAGGCGACGAUGCGUAGGGGUUCUGAGAGGAAGGUCCCCCACACUGGUACUGAGACACGGACCAGACUCCUACGGGAGGCAGCAGUGAGGAAUAUUGGUCAAUGGGCGCGAGCCUGAACCAGCCAAGUCGCGUGAGGGAAGACGGUCCUAUGGAUUGUAAACCUCUUUUGUCGGGGAGCAAAAGACGCCACGCGUGGCGUUCCGAGAGUACCCGAAGAAAAAGCAUCGGCUAACUCCGUGCCAGCAGCCGCGGUAAUACGGAGGAUGCGAGCGUUAUCCGGAUUUAUUGGGUUUAAAGGGUGCGCAGGCGGAAGAUCAAGUCAGCGGUAAAAUUGAGAGGCUCAACCUCUUCGAGCCGUUGAAACUGGUUUUCUUGAGUGAGCGAGAAGUAUGCGGAAUGCGUGGUGUAGCGGUGAAAUGCAUAGAUAUCACGCAGAACUCCGAUUGCGAAGGCAGCAUACCGGCGCUCAACUGACGCUCAUGCACGAAAGUGUGGGUAUCGAACAGGAUUAGAUACCCUGGUAGUCCACACAGUAAACGAUGAAUACUAAUUGUUCGGGGAGAAUGAUCCCUGAGUGAUACAGCGAAAGCGUUA